CUUGUAGCUGUAACCGGCCUCCUCACAUCAGAAAAAUUGUUCAAGAGCAUGAUGCAUUGCAUCUUUCAUGCUCCUAUGUCUUUCUUUGACUCGACACCUACAGGGCGAAUCUUAAACAGGGUCAGUCCAUUCUCCUGUCUCAGAAGUGUAAACUAUGUAAAAUAAAUCCUAAAGAAAUUCUAUGUAAAAUAAGUAAACAUAUACUGCAUUACACAGGAAAGUGUAAUGUGUAUGUCGCUUUACCUGAGUUGCUAAUACAUGAUUUUUGCAUUGUUCAUGUAGGCUUCGAUUGAUCAAAGUGUGCUAGAUUUGGAGACAGCGUCAACAUUAAGUGAGAGCACAUUUUCAGUGAUGCAGUUUCUAGGAACAAUACUAAUCAUAUCAUAUGUUUCCUGGCCAGUUCUCAUUAUUUUUAUUCCAUCAAUAUUGAUUUGCAUCAGGUAUCAGGUAAGAGUUAACUGUAACUUAGUCAGAUUCAAAAUAGUAUCAGUACACACAAUAUGCCUAUUGAGAAUGAAUCAUAUCUCCCAUAAUAUCCUGCAGAGAUAUUACAGUCUAACAGCAACAGAAUUAGCUCGCCUAUCAGGAAUUCAAAAGGCUCCAAUUCUUCAUCAUUUUGGGGAAACUUUCUAUGGAGCUGCAAUAAUUCGAGCAUUUCGCCAAGAAGACCGGUUCUACAGAUCAAAUCUGAGUCUACUUGACAAUCAUUCAAGACCAUGGUUUCACUUGAUGGCUGCAGUAGAAUGGCUCUCUUUCAGAAUGAAUUUGUUAUGCAACUUUGUCUUUGGGUUCUCGUUGGUUUUGCUUGUGCGUCUUCCACAAGGUUUUGUUAAUCCAAGUAAGUUUUGACUUGUUCGGACCCAUGAAUUUAAUUGAACGUAAACUCAUGCUGUUCUACCGUCAUUCAAACUUGAAGGAUAAAUAUCUUUUUUCUGGUAUAAGGGUUGAUGUUCUCUUGCUGCAAAACAGGCAUUGGUGGGCUGGUAGUGAUGUAUGCAUGGAAUUUGAAUACACAAUUAUCAGAAGCCACCCGGAAUAUAAGUCGUGCAGAAGCAAACAUGAUAUCAGUUGAAAGAAUAUUACAGUACACAAAGCUUCCAAGUGAAGCCCCAACCAUAACCGAGGGUAGCAAGCCACCAAUGGCAUGGCCAGAGUUUGGCAUGAUAAGCAUAAGCAACUUAGAGGUAUGGUUCUAAAUGAUUAGAAAGAAGAUCAUAAUAAUUUUAUUUCAUACUAAGUAUCAGAGGUGUACACCCUUUAGUUGGCCCAGUAAUGAUAUUGCACAUUUAAUCAUACAGGUCAGAUAUGCAGAACAUCUCCCUUCAGUAUUAAAAAACAUAACUUGUGUGAUUCCAGCUGAGAAAACAGUAGGUAUUGUUGGACGCACAGGUAGUGGGAAGUCAACCUUAGUACAAGUACUUUUUCGGAUUGUUGAGCCAAGAGAAGGGACCAUCAAGAUUGACAGCAUCGACAUCUGCAAAAUUGGACUUCAUGAUCUGAGAUCGAGAAUAUGUAUUCUCCCACAGGAUCCGGUGAUGUUCGAUGGUACAAUCAGAGGAAAUCUUGAUCCCAUGAACGAGUACCCAGAUAGUAGGAUAUGGGAGGUAAGUGCAGAAAACUUACAUGUUACAUCCUAACUAGAAUAUAUGACAAAGCUUUUCUAUUUGUAUAGACAAUGGUUCCAUAAAUAGCACAAAUCAUAUAAAGCAAAAAAAAUGGGUAAGCGUGAAUAGACGACAACAAUAUGAAGUGAAGAUGGUACAGAUUGCGACCCCUAUCCACCAGUAAAUGAAUAAGACCUCAAAAGCAAGCAUACAAACUAGAAGUAAUUUUAGGGUAGAUCAACAGUAGUUUUCAUUCUGAAGUAAUGAACUACCCAUGUCAGGUAGUAGACAAGUGUCAGCUUGGCAAUGUGGUGCGCUCGACUGAGAAAAAGCUGGAUGAAAUAGGUACUGCUCAGCAUUAAACUUUUGAAGGAAGACAAAAAAACUGCAAUGAGUCCUUUAGGAAAAGAACAUGUUAAUAUGUAGUUUUUCUGAAAUACUUAUGCUACUAUGAAUUUAUAUUUCAUUCGCAGUAAUUGAAAAUGGGGACAACUGGAGCAUGGGACAGCGACAACUAUUUUGUUUAGGCAGAAUUCUCCUGAGGAAGAGCAAGAUACUAGUCCUUGAUGAGGCAACUGCUUCAGUUGACUCUGCUACAGACCGGAUUAUUCAAGAGAUAAUUCGUCAAGAAUUCAAAGAUUGCACAGUGCUUGCAAUUGCCCAUAGGAUGAACACUGUUAUUGAUAGUGACCUUAUUCUUGUUCUUGGUGAAGGUAGGUAUACCACUACAAUACUAAAACAACCUCAGAAUAUCAUGUUGCACAGCUACGUCACUCUUUAAAUCUGAUAUCUCUAUGCAGGUAGUAUUUUAGAAUACGACACCCCCACCAAACUGCUCCAGAGAGAGGACUCUACAUUCUCUAAGCUAACCAAAGAGUACUCACAACAAUCGCAGCACUUCAAGUCUUCAACGGCAAUGCACAGGAUGGGUAGCUACUAAUUUUCCUGAAGACAUACUACAUUCUACAUGGCUAUAUUCCCCACGACACACCUGAAGUAUCCGCGCCACAGCAACUCAGCAAGGGGCAGGGAAUUGCUUCGUAGUCCAAGUAAAAUUUUCUAAAUGUUGCAUGUAAAACCUAUGAAUAGCAAAACAGCGUAAAUGAUUAAUUUACAGAAAAAUGGCACUACCUUAGCUUGUGAUUCCCAGAUAAGAAAACAUCCUGCUGGUUGAGGCAUUCCGUCGAACAGCUGUUUCGCGUCCCCUGACCAGCACAGACUGGUAAUCCCAGACUUCUGGGUCUACGAAUGCACACUGAUUUUAACGAAUGCUUGAGACUUGAUACUGAGAUUUGGUGAGCAGUGCUUACGGAUUUGAACACUGGGAAGAUGGAGCUUGCAUCUGGUCAAGCAGGGUGGUAGCGGCGGGCGGUGGCCUGCAACCGCGCGCAAGGCCGUGCGCAGCUGCGGAUUUCGGAGAUGGGAGUGCGAAACACCACGCAGACGCGCGUGGCGCCGCGCUAGAGCUCAGGGCCUCAGGUUCGUGUUCCGCGCACGCCAGCGAGGGCCGCCGUGUUUGGCAUGGCGAGGGGCGAGAGCAGAAGCCCCGGAGGUUGUUUGUCUUUUUCCUUUUCUUUUUUUUUUUUUGAGAAAAUUUGGAGGUUUGGUUUUGGUUUCGGAAAAAG
Molecule: long non-coding RNA, 3229 nt
Filed under: Oryza sativa (Asian cultivated rice)
Lineage: Eukaryota; Viridiplantae; Streptophyta; Magnoliopsida; Poales; Poaceae
Description: long non-coding RNA (OSAT_LNC000839)
Source: RNAcentral